GGCGGCCCCUGCACCUUCAGGACCAGCUUCCUCCCUGGAGGCAAGGAGCUGCCGGGAGUCAGGCGGGUGCUUUGUCCCUCUGAUGGUGAUGCAUGGCCCCGCUAACUCGCUGUGCGAGGCUGUUAAUUGUGGCACAGCUGCGGUGACAGCCCUCCAGGCGCUGGGCAAUGCUGGGCUGCGGAGCUUGCUGCAAAUCAACACCAUUUGUUGUGCAGGACGUGUUUCAUUCCCACACGACACGCAUAGCUCAUCACCUCGCUGCAGUAAGGGGGAGAGGUGGUCUGCCCGCCGGCCCUGCCUGGUCCACUGGAGCCCACUGCUGUGGGGAGGACACCAGCCUGACCCUCCAGCGUUCAGGGUGAUGGGGGGUCCUGAGUGACAGUCCCAGCCCCUCUCUGCUGGUCCCUGCAAAAAAGCCAGGCUCCAGGCAGACACACAGCAGCCCCUCUGUCUGGCCUGUCCAGCUCUGUGGCCUCAGGGAAGCAACUUGACCUCUCUGAGCUAUUUCUUCAACUGUGUAGACAUGUGCCUGCC
This 534-nucleotide long non-coding RNA is filed under the name Marmota monax (woodchuck). Lineage: Eukaryota; Metazoa; Chordata; Mammalia; Rodentia; Sciuridae. The record is from RNAcentral.